This 497-nucleotide ribosomal RNA is filed under the name uncultured bacterium. RNAcentral's name for it is "partial 16S ribosomal RNA". It matches the Rfam family "Bacterial small subunit ribosomal RNA", at positions 28 to 507 of the family's 1533-position model. The record is from RNAcentral.
GAUGAACGCUGGCGGCGUGCCUAAUACAUGCAAGUCGAGCGAACAGACGAGGAGCUUACUCCUCUGACGUUAGCGGCGGACGGGUGAGUAACACGUGGAUAACCUACCUAUAAGACUGGGAUAACUUCGGGAAACCGGAGCUAAUACCGGAUAACAUGUUGAACCGCAUGGUUCAACAGUGAAAGACGGUCUUGCUGUCACUUAUAGAUGGAUCCGCGUCGCAUUAGCUAGUUGGUAAGGUAACGGCUUACCAAGGCAACGAUGCGUAGUCGACCUGAGAGGGUGAUCGGCCACACUGGAACUGAGACACGGUCCAGACUCCUACGGGAGGCAGCAGUAGGGAAUCUUCCGCAAUGGGCGAAAGCCUGACGGAGCAACGCCGCGUGAGUGAAGAAGGUCUUCGGAUCGUAAAACUCUGUUAUUAGGGAAGAACAAAUGUGUAAGUAACUAUGCACGUCUUGACGGUACCUAAUCAGAAAGCCACGGCUAACUACGUG